AACGAACGCUGGCGGCAUGCCUUACACAUGCAAGUCGAACGAGAACUUCGGGUCUAGUGGCGCACGGGUGCGUAACGCGUGGGAACCUGCCCUUAGGUUCGGAAUAACUCCCCGAAAGGGGUGCUAAUCCCGGAUAAUGUCUUCUGACCAAAGAUUUAUCGCCCUUGGAUGGGCCCGCGUUGGAUUAGCUAGUUGGUAGGGUAACAGCCUACCAAGGCGACGAUCCAUAGCCGGUCUGAGAGGAUGAGCAGCCACACUGAGACUGAGACACGGCCCGGAAUCUUACGGGAGGCAGGAGUGGGGAAUAUUGGACUGUGGGCGAAAGCCUGAUCCAGCAAUGCCGCGUGAGUGAUGAAGGCCUUAGGGUUGUAAAGCUCUUUUACCCGGGAUGAUAAUGACAGUACCGGAAGAAUAAGCACCGGCUAACUCCGUG
This 433-nucleotide ribosomal RNA is filed under the name uncultured bacterium. RNAcentral describes it as "partial 16S ribosomal RNA". It matches the Rfam family "Bacterial small subunit ribosomal RNA", at positions 29 to 507 of the family's 1533-position model. The record is from RNAcentral.